Astatotilapia calliptera (eastern happy) is the source of this 4101-nucleotide long non-coding RNA. NCBI's taxonomy places the organism in Eukaryota, Metazoa, Chordata, Actinopteri, Cichliformes, Cichlidae. The record is from Ensembl.
UUUAUAUUUGUAUAUAUAUUUAUAUAUAUAUAUAUUAUAUUGUGUUUACUUAACAAACAUGAUAAAUGCAAUGUCUCCAAGUUAGCUGUAACAAUAAAAAUACAAUAUCUUUGUGUCCUUAAAGUACAUAGAAUUAAAACAGCAAAACAAAUCAAAACAAACAAACAAAAAAACCGCUCUAAGUAGUUCACAGAGAGGUACAAAUAUACAGUACAAAUCUAUUUUAUUCAAAAAGGAUACAAAUAAAAACGCAACAAAAUAGAGAUAGUAAUGCUUUGUUAAAGUCAGGUAGGUGUAGGAUAUUCUAAGGGAGCACUUUGGGUCGACAACUCUAAGGCUUCUGAUUAAGAUCAAUACAUAUUGGUACGGCCAUACGAUAUUAAAACUCACUAUACAAAGUUCAUACAACCUGGAUUAUACUUGAGGAUUGAAUGUUACAUUUACAUAAUUGCAUAUAUUUUUGCAGAUUUAGGCAUUUAAAAAGAUGCUGUUUUUUGUUUUGUUUUUAGUUAUGCGUCACAUAAAUAGCAGUGUCACCGUGUGCAGAAGGAAAAAAAAAAUAGUACAAAGUCAUAUCUGAAAAUACACAGACUUUUUAAAACUUUUAACCGUUCUCAUUUCUCCUGAUUUAAUUCGACAUCAGCGGCACCAAAACCGUCCUAAAUUCACCUUUGCAAUACUGGAUCAACAGGAAGUAGUUCACAUAGAAAUCCCAUCGAGCAACGCCACAAAACAUUGAAGAGAAAAAAAAAUAGUCACAUUACCACCGAUAGAAAAGUUUUGGCUUUAUGCAGCCUUUCUCACUUAUCCAAACCCGCCUCUGCUGUUCAGACUGUCAGAGCACAAAACACCAAACACCACCCAUUAAUUUCUAAGGAGGAAAGAAAAAAAAAACCCUACAAAUUCUGUGCAACAACAAUAAAAACAACUGUGCAUCUGUCUAUGCAUGUGAGGAAUUAAUAGAUUGCCCUCCUUUUGCUGUCUUGUGUACAAAAAAAGUGCAGAGAAAAGCCUCCUUUCCAUUCCCACAUACUGGAAAAAAAAAAAUAAAGGAUCUGAAUGUUAAAUAUGAGCCUAAAGAAUCUAUUAAAAACGGAAUAAGAAAUGUGUUUAAAAAGAAAAAUGAAACCAAACCAAAACGUUGCAGAGUUCAUGUCCCAAAGAAAGCCCACAGUCAACCUUUGAGACAUCUAAAUAUGAAUGUUUGUCAUUUCUGAUUCACUCUUAUUCAACCUGAAACUGGGACGCUGAGCCUACCUGGAGCAUCGUUUCAAUUUCACAUAUUGUACAAAGCAGAAUUUAAGGCAUUAACGACAAGCAUCAUCGAAGCUAUCUAUACAAAAAAUACAGCUAUCUACAGAAACGCACAACCUGUGAUUUCUCCGUGAUUUUUUUGUGUGCUUUACAUUUUGAAACUCUUCAAACUACCAACAGAUUUCAAACACUGUAAAGGAGGACAUUUAGUGCAAUUACUUACAGCAACAGACGAUCAGUGAUGUGGAUCAUUAGACAUCUUUAUUUGAGUGGAUACUUCCCAAAAGCAGAGGGGGAAAAGAAAAAAGUCACAGGUGGCACUGCUCGCACCAUUUAAAUGUCGUCAAUUGAAUCCUGACCUUACACAUAAUGCAGAAGCAGCAAUCGCGCCAUGGUAAUGCAGGACGAAUGCAUUGCUAUUUGGCAAAGUGUGUGGCGUCGCAGGACAAUAAACAUCGAUGAGAAUCACUGAGCAUAAAAUACAAAGUGGUAAAGCAAAACACUGCUUAGAUUCCUAUUAGAAGAGUAAUUUAAAGCAAAAAUCAGCGUGGAACGACUGCAUCCGCCGACCUGCCCCGCUGCUUCAGAGUUAAGACAAUGAAGGGUACAAUACUGAGGUUACUGCAUAGAGAAGACUACGUGAAAUGUUUUCAGGUAUUGUGUAUAUUGCUUACAGGAUGGAAAACUCCAAUCAGAUGAUCAGAUAUAAAAAAAAAAAAAAGUCUGGGUUCACAUGUUUGCUAGUUUGACUAACCUGUCCAUAUCAAGUUUGACAGUUAUUAGUUGAAAUCUUUCCUCCUGUCCACACCGGCUGUAAAAAGGUUCAUUUCAGGCCUACACUGACAUUUAAGUGGGAUGUGAGGGCAGCAGGCGAAACAGAGACAUCCAGACUUGGCUCUCCAUGGCCAGCUCUUCUGGAAGGACAGUAAGGGUUUUCCGAGUAGGACACACCUGGACCUUACCAAGAAUGCAGGAGACAUCUUGACCACAUGUCCGAACAACCUGAACUUCGUCCUUUCAGCGUCGAUGAGUAGCAGCUCUACUCUGUGCCCUUUCUAAAAAACCAAACUCCUCACCCUGUCUCUAAAGGCUGAGCCCGAGCACUCUUUAGAAGACGCUCAUCUCUACCGCGUGCACCCACAGUCUCACUCUUUCAUCAUUCUCCACAACUUGGCGUCUUCAGGAGUCUGACUUUCACAAAUCACAAUGUGUAUCUCCAACAAGCAUGAUAUGCGGGUGUUAGGAUAACCAUGAUUUUUUUUUUUUUAAAGAAAGAAAAGAAAUACUGACAUAUUAUUAAUACACACUUGAAAAUAUCAAAUAACUGUCUAACAGUUAUAGUUACAGAUUUUGUUUUCCACAUCCCUACAAUUGUUAAUACUUUUUGGAAAGAAACUGCACACGCAAUAAACUAAAGUAUUAUUUUUAUAGAUAUGGCACGACUGUUACAUUUUAAACGUCUAAAAGUUAUUUUAAUGUGCGACUUUGCCAUAUGACUCCUGAAGCCCAAUAUUACUAUUCCACAACACUGCAUUGAAAGACCGCUGUAGCUUUGAGAGGGAAUCUUUAUACAAGCAAGAAUGGAUAGGAGGAAUAAGUAAUAUGUGUGCGUGAGAGAAAGAAAAAUGUGAACCCAUCCUUUAAAACUGCUCAGGCUCAAUCUCAUGACCCCUUCUAUCUGCUGAUAGAAGUUCAGUGAAUCACGAGGAUAUAAGGGAAACACACAACAGUGUCUGGACCUCACAAACAAACUAGUCCAUAACAGCACACAUGACAAUAACAACCACACAACUGAUGCUGCUGUCAGAGCACGUCGAAUUUAAAAGAUACAUGAAAUAUUCCUAAGUAAGUUGCCAAAGGUAAGUCCAGAUAUCUAUGGCAAAAGAAGUACUUUUUGAUGGGAAUGUCUGAGUGAGGAAUGUCGUCUGACUACGAUUUUAUGUAUGGUCUAAUUGCACUUAUUUUUAAUUACACCCUUUUUUGAUUCUUUUUUUUUUUCUCCUGUAAGAAAGACAAAAGGAAGAAACUGCAGCAUUUAUGUCGGCUAAUUUGUAAACAGAUUUAGAAACGCAAGUCAGUUUUUUUUCCUCUCGCCACAAAACCCCAACAACAAUACUUUAAACCUAUUCCCUUCAUUAAAAAAAUAAACUACUGUACUGUGAUUCCUAUUUAAAGGUCAGUAUGAAAUAAAUGUGACAUCUGCUAUGUGCAACACAAGACAAUCUUAGGAACCACUGGAAUAAAGACAGCCUAGUAUCAAUGCAAAACGUACACUUUAAAAGGUAAAAAAAAGAAGUUGAUGAUGAUUGUGAUUUCAUUAGAGCCGGGCAUCUCUUGGAUGUGCACUUCAGUAAAUCCAUUAAAAAAAAAUUAAAAAAUAUCAGUGAAGUGAAAAAUCCAUGUUUGGACAAUGACUUCUUGAGAAAGUUUCCAAAGGCUUUGUUUGUGCAGGAUUGCUAAAUUAAUGAAAAUGAGCAUUAAAAAGAGUGCAUCGCCUUUAAGAGUCAAGGGAUGAGAGGGUGAGAUCUCACACUGCACAUUUAUCGAGAUUUACCACACCCCACAAGAAGUUCCUGGGAGAGGGCAAUACGGAUCAGUAAAGCCACAUAGCAUAAAAAUAACUAUUGCUUUAAUCUGGUUACUGAGCAAGUCAAGUUUAGAACAUCACGGCCCCACUCAUAUACACAAAAAACUACUACACCCUCCAACUCCGGACUCCUGGGCUGUAGGUGGCAGUGCAGCCAGCGAAGCAAAAAGGGAAACAACUUGCUGGCUCAUUCCCACAGGUGGCUUUAGUGAUGACCAGGCGGUGCCUCCUCCUUAAUUACAAAGUUCACAAGAGAAAAC